ACUAAGAUAUCUAAUAUUUCAAAAUUCCAUUGUAAGGCUUAAAAUGGCUGUACUGGAUUUUUUGUGUUCUGUCCCAAAUCUAUACACAAAAUCUGAUUUGCUUUCAUUCUAUUCCUAAGAGGAUGAGGCAGGAGAGGGCCCGCCUUCUCCAGAGAUGCUGAUUCGCUUUGAUUCUAUUCCUAAGAAGAUGAGGCAGGAGAGGGCCCCCCCUUCUCCAGAGAUGCCACCCAUGGAAGAGGAAGCAGGUCUGAAGCCUUGGGUUCGAGCCCUGGCACCAACAAAACCUCAAACUACAGAUGCUGGUUGAUUGGCAGGAUCAAGAUGAGUUUAAUCUCUUACACAUCACAAUGAUGUUUGAGGUCAUAUUUCCAAGCAGGUUGGCAUGCUCCUUCCAGGUUCACUUGGCAUGUUGCCGUUCUUCCCCGACACCAGAUCCUUGAAAAGUCAGGGUAGUGAAAUAAAUAAUGAAAUUCCCCACCCAUCAUCCUUGGAGCUUCAAGUUACCUCACAUAGCAACGAGGAGUUUGCAAAUGUGACAAGGUAAGGAUUGGAGAUUGGGAUGGGAUCCAAAUUAUCCAAGAGGCCUUGACAGCCACUCGUGUCCUCUGGAAAGUGAGACAGAAGCAGAGCCAGAAACUCUGGAGCCCACUUAAAUCCUCUGCAGCAAACAGAAAACUCUCCCCUGAGUCUCCAGGAAAAUGACUUUGAACUUCUGGCUGCUAGAAUUGUAGGAAAAGAAGGUUUUGAGGUUCACAACUGUUUGGGUUGUAUUCUCUUUGUUGUGCGAAGAACACAAGGAAGCCACCAGGUCGCCUGGAUUGGGUAGAAAGGGAGCCUGGUAUUGCUCCUUAGCACUGGUGCCGCACUCGUGCCAAACCCGGAAGACACCAAGACAGCAUCAGAGCGGCUGGACUUCCUUCCCUUACAGAUAGGCUGGGUGACAGGAUGGCUUCCACUCUCCAGGGGGAUGCUGACAAUCGGACCCUGGGGAGUUAGAGCUUGCCUCACUUCCCCUGCCUUUAAAGUGGUACACAUGCCUGAUUCCUACUGGGUAAUUUGCAAGGGUGAGAUGAAAUCUUGGGUAUCGUACACACCGCACACAGCAAACGCUGUGCAUGUGACAAUCGCGUCGUCUCCGGGACAGCCUUCCACUGUAGGAAUGACAUCCACUGUCCCCGCCCGAGUCUGCCCAGCCCAAAAUGAUGAAUAGACAAUAAAUCGAAGCAUCAAACCUG
Molecule: long non-coding RNA, 1235 nt
Organism: Mastomys coucha (southern multimammate mouse)
Lineage: Eukaryota; Metazoa; Chordata; Mammalia; Rodentia; Muridae
Exons: 2
Source: RefSeq, a predicted model, not a curated record